GACGAACGCUGGCGGCGUGCUUAACACAUGCAAGUCGAACGUGAUUUUUGUGGAAAUUCUUUCGGGAAUGGAAAUGAAAUGAAAGUGGCGAACGGGUGAGUAACACGUGAGCAACCUACCUUACACAGGGGGAUAGCCGUUGGAAACGACGAUUAAUACCGCAUGAGACCACAGAAUCGCAUGAUAUAGGGGUCAAAGAUUUAUCGGUGUAAGAAGGGCUCGCGUCUGAUUAGCUAGUUGGAAGGGUAAAGGCCUACCAAGGCGACGAUCAGUAGCCGGUCUGAGAGGAUGAGCGGCCACAUUGGAACUGAGACACGGUCCAAACUCCUACGGGAGGCAGCAGUGGGGAAUAUUGCACAAUGGGGGGAACCCUGAUGCAGCGACGCCGCGUGAGCGAAGAAGGUUUUCGAAUCGUAAAGCUCUGUCCUAUGAGAAGAUAAUGACGGUAUCAUAGGAGGAAGCCCCGGCUAAAUACGUGCCAGCAGCCGCGGUAAUACGUAUGGGGCGAGCGUUGUCCGGAAUUAUUGGGCGUAAAGGGUACGUAGGCGGCCUUUUAAGUCAGGUGUGAAAGCGUGAGGCUUAACCUCAUUAAGCACUUGAAACUGGAAGGCUUGAGUGAAGGAGAGGAAAGUGGAAUUCCUAGUGUAGCGGUGAAAUGCGUAGAUAUUAGGAGGAAUACCGGUGGCGAAGGCGACUUUCUGGACUUUUACUGACGCUCAGGUACGAAAGCGUGGGGAGCAAACAGG
Molecule: ribosomal RNA, 746 nt
Filed under: uncultured Parvimonas sp.
Lineage: Bacteria; Bacillati; Bacillota; Tissierellia; Tissierellales; Peptoniphilaceae
Description: bacterial SSU rRNA
Rfam family: Bacterial small subunit ribosomal RNA
Source: RNAcentral